RNAcentral lists this non-coding RNA (18 nucleotides) under Mus musculus (house mouse). The record is from RNAcentral. Lineage: Eukaryota; Metazoa; Chordata; Mammalia; Rodentia; Muridae.
AGAAAGAUUGCAGAGCUC